CUUUUUCGGGGAUGGAUACCACAACAGUUGCAGUACUGAAAGCUGCUAAUGUCAGCACAGACAUGCUUUCCAGUCUCUCCAAGGAGGACUUGCGAGACCUCUUUCCAGGGCCUGAGCACUUUAUCCGAAGGAUGGCCAUUUGGAGGACCAUACAUGGUGGAAAUGAGUAUGAACAAUUAGCCUACAACAACCAGCCUCACCCAGGCACCUCUGGAUGUGAUGCCACCUCUAUUCCCACUACCCCAACCCCAUCCACCCCUCCAUCCAUCCCCGCACCAGGAGACAGUGCCAGCAGAACUGUACAGCUUGUAUGUAGACAGUUUGU
Long non-coding RNA from Salarias fasciatus (jewelled blenny), 325 nucleotides. RefSeq lists it as uncharacterized. The record is from RefSeq and is a predicted model, not a curated record. NCBI's taxonomy places the organism in Eukaryota, Metazoa, Chordata, Actinopteri, Blenniiformes, Blenniidae. The transcript is spliced from 3 exons.